This 245-nucleotide long non-coding RNA is filed under the name Hordeum vulgare. Its description in RNAcentral is "long non-coding RNA (HVUL_LNC011218)". Lineage: Eukaryota; Viridiplantae; Streptophyta; Magnoliopsida; Poales; Poaceae. The record is from RNAcentral.
GCCCAUCAAAAUAGGUGUAUCAUAGAUAAUUCAAGUGAAAAUUCAAUAUAUACAAGUGAAAAUGGACAUCAUAGAAAAUACUUCAGACUUCAAAUCCUCAGCAAAUCCCUGGCUCAACAAAUGCCAAUACAAUACUUUUUUAAUAUUAACUUAAACAAAGUCGGAACUACUGCUCCUUCAUGGAAACAAAUUAAAAGGAACACAAAUUUCAUGUGUUCACAUAUAACAACAAAUGAGGAAACGAC